This 474-nucleotide ribosomal RNA is filed under the name Klebsiella variicola. RNAcentral's name for it is "partial 23S ribosomal RNA". It matches the Rfam family "Bacterial large subunit ribosomal RNA", at positions 1281 to 1755 of the family's 2925-position model. Lineage: Bacteria; Pseudomonadati; Pseudomonadota; Gammaproteobacteria; Enterobacterales; Enterobacteriaceae. The record is from RNAcentral.
AUCAGAAGUGCGAAUGCUGACAUAAGUAACGAUAAAGCGGGUGAAAAGCCCGCUCGCCGGAAGACCAAGGGUUCCUGUCCAACGUUAAUCGGGGCAGGGUGAGUCGACCCCUAAGGCGAGGCCGAAAGGCGUAGUCGAUGGGAAACAGGUUAAUAUUCCUGUACUUGGUGUUACUGCGAAGGGGGGACGGAGAAGGCUAUGUUAGCCGGGCGACGGUUGUCCCGGUUUAAGCAUGUAGGCGGAGGUUCCAGGUAAAUCCGGUACCUUUUAACGCUGAGGUGUGAUGACGAGGCACUACGGUGCUGAAGUAACAAAUGCCCUGCUUCCAGGAAAAGCCUCUAAGCAUCAGGUAACAUUAAAUCGUACCCCAAACCGACACAGGUGGUCAGGUAGAGAAUACCAAGGCGCUUGAGAGAACUCGGGUGAAGGAACUAGGCAAAAUGGUGCCGUAACUUCGGGAGAAGGCACGCUGGU